This 220-nucleotide long non-coding RNA is filed under the name Malus domestica (apple). RNAcentral describes it as "long non-coding RNA (MDOM_LNC011484)". Lineage: Eukaryota; Viridiplantae; Streptophyta; Magnoliopsida; Rosales; Rosaceae. The record is from RNAcentral.
AUUAGAUGGAGAUCUCAACCAUAGAAUACGAGCUGGAUGGAUGAAGUGUAAGAGUGUAUCCAGCAUGUUGUGUGACCGUCGUAGGCUACUGAAGCUCAAGGGAAAAUUUUAUAAGACGGCAAUAAGGCCAGCGAUGUUGUAUGGCACAUAAUGUUGGGCGGUGAAACAUCAACACGUACACAAAAUGGGUGUAGCAGAGAUGAGGAUGCUUCGUGGGAUG